CCUACGGGAGGCAGCAGUGAGGAAUAUUGGUCAAUGGACGAGAGUCUGAACCAGCCAAGUAGCGUGAAGGAUGACUGCCCUAUGGGUGGUAAACUUCUUUUAUAUGGGAAUAAAAGGUUGGACGCGUGGGAUUGGGUAUGUACCUUAUGAAUAAGGAUCGGCUGACUCCGUGCCAGCAGCCGCGGUAAGACGGAGGAGACGAGCGUUAUCCGGAUUUAUUGGGUUUAAAGGGAGCGUAGGUGGGUGGUUAAGUCAGGUGGUAAAGUUAGGGGCUUAACCGGGACAUUGCAGUUGAAACUGGCAGUCUCGAGUACAGUAGAGGUGGGCGGAAUGCGUGGUGUAGCGGUGAAAUGCUUAGAUAUCACGAAGAACUCCGAUUGCGAAGGCAGCUCCCUGGACUAACACUGACACUGAGGCGCGAAAGUGUGGGUAUCAAACAGGAUUAGAUACCCUAGUAGUC
Molecule: ribosomal RNA, 460 nt
Filed under: uncultured bacterium
Lineage: Bacteria
Description: partial 16S ribosomal RNA
Rfam family: Bacterial small subunit ribosomal RNA
Source: RNAcentral